RNAcentral lists this transfer RNA (72 nucleotides) under Camelus bactrianus (Bactrian camel). It matches the Rfam family "tRNA". Rfam says of the family: Transfer RNA (tRNA) molecules are approximately 80 nucleotides in length. Their secondary structure includes four short double-helical elements and three loops (D, anti-codon, and T loops). RNAcentral also lists the same sequence under 3 other names. The record is from Rfam by way of RNAcentral. Lineage: Eukaryota; Metazoa; Chordata; Mammalia; Artiodactyla; Camelidae.
GGGGGUGUAGCACAGAGGUAGAACGCAUGCUUGGCAUACAUGAGGUCCUGGGUUCAACCCCCAGUGUCUCUG